GACGAACGCUGGCGGCGUGCUUAACACAUGCAAGUCGAACGGAAAGGCCCUGCUUUUGUGGGGUGCUCGAGUGGCGAACGGGUGAGUAACACGUGAGUAACCUGCCCUUGACUUUGGGAUAACUUCAGGAAACUGGGGCUAAUACCGGAUAGGAGCUCCUGCUGCAUGGUGGGGGUUGGAAAGUUUCGGCGGUUGGGGAUGGACUCGCGGCUUAUCAGCUUGUUGGUGGGGUAGUGGCUUACCAAGGCUUUGACGGGUAGCCGGCCUGAGAGGGUGACCGGCCACAUUGGGACUGAGAUACGGCCCAGACUCCUACAGGAGGCAGCAGUGGGGAAUAUUGCACAAUGGGCGGGAGCCUGAUGCAUCAACGCCGCGUGCGGAAUGACGGCCUUCGGGUUGUAAACCGCUUUCGCCUGUGACGAAGCGUGAGUGACGGUAAUGGGUAAAGAAGCACCGGCUAACUACGUG
This 468-nucleotide ribosomal RNA is filed under the name uncultured bacterium. Its description in RNAcentral is "partial 16S ribosomal RNA". It matches the Rfam family "Bacterial small subunit ribosomal RNA", at positions 28 to 507 of the family's 1533-position model. The record is from RNAcentral.